GACGAACGCUUGCGGCGUGCUUAACACAUGCAAGUCGAACGGAAAGGCCCUGCUUUUGUGGGGUGCUCGAGUGGCGAACGGGUGAGUAACACGUGAGUAACCUGCCCUUGACUUUGGGAUAACUUCAGGAAACUGGGGCUAAUACCGGAUAGGAGCUCCUGCUGCAUGGUGGGGGUUGGAAAGUUUCGGCGGUUGGGGAUGGACUCGCGGCUUAUCAGCUUGUUGGUGGGGUAGUGGCUUACCAAGGCUUUGACGGGUAGCCGGCCUGAGAGGGUGACCGGCCACAUUGGGACUGAGAUACGGCCCAGACUCCUACGGGAGGCAGCAGUGGGGAAUAUUGCACAAUGGGCGGAAGCCUGAUGCAGCAACGCCGCGUGCGGGAUGACGGCCUUCGGGUUGUAAACCGCUUUCGCCUGUGACGAAGCGUGAGUGACGGUAAUGGGUAAAGAAGCACCGGCUAACUACGUGCCAGCAGCCGCGGUGAUACGUAGGGUGCGAGCGUUGUCCGGAUUUAUUGGGCGUAAAGGGCUCGUAGGUGGUUGAUCGCGUCGGAAGUGUAAUCUUGGGGCUUAACCCUGAGCGUGCUUUCGAUACGGGUUGACUUGAGGAAGGUAGGGGAGAAUGGAAUUCCUGGUGGAGCGGUGGAAUGCGCAGAUAUCAGGAGGAACACCAGUGGCGAAGGCGGUUCUCUGGGCCUUUCCUGACGCUGAGGAGCGAAAGCGUGGGGAGCGAACAGGCUUAGAUACCCUGGUAGUCCACGCUGUAAACGGUGGGUACUAGGUGUGGGGUCCAUUCCACGGGUUCCGUGCCGUAGCUAACGCUUUAAGUACCCCGCCUGGGGAGUACGGCCGCAAGGCUAAAACUCAAAGGAAUUGACGGGGCCCCGCACAAGCGGCGGAGCAUGCGGAUUAAUUCGAUGCAACGCGUAGAACCUUACCUGGGUUUGACAUGGAUCGGGAGCGCUCAGAGAUGGGUGUGCCUCUUUUGGGGUCGGUUCACAGGUGGUGCAUGGCUGUCGUCAGCUCGUGUCGUGAGAUGUUGGGUUAAGUCCCGCAACGAGCGCAACCCUUGUUCACUGUUGCCAGCACGUUAUGGUGGGGACUCAGUGGAGACCGCCGGGGUCAACUCGGAGGAAGGUGGGGAUGACGUCAAGUCAUCAUGCCCCUUAUGUCCAGGGCUUCACGCAUGCUACAAUGGCUGGUACAGAGAGUGGCGAGCCUGUGAGGGUGAGCGAAUCUCGGAAAGCCGGUCUCAGUUCGGAUUGGGGUCUGCAACUCGACCUCAUGAAGUCGGAGUCGCUAGUAAUCGCAGAUCAGCAACGCUGCGGUGAAUACGUUCCCGGG
This 1343-nucleotide ribosomal RNA is filed under the name uncultured bacterium. RNAcentral describes it as "16S ribosomal RNA". It matches the Rfam family "Bacterial small subunit ribosomal RNA", at positions 28 to 1378 of the family's 1533-position model. The record is from RNAcentral.